AUGAAUACAAAUGAGUGGAGAUCAACUCGAGGGAUCAGACGGAGGAAAGCUGUGUUUGAUCUUAAUGUGGCACCCACUGAUCUUGAAGGGACCUCAGCCUCCGUAAGAGCAGCUCCCAUUGUGCCUAGCUGUGAUCUUCAAAGAGAGUCUGUGCCUUCUCACCCUGCUCCGGCCAUGAUUGAUGUAGAUGCUAUUGAAGAUGAUGUCGUUGAAUCAUCCGCAAGUGCUUUCGCUGAGGCUAGAAGUAAAUCAACAGGUGCACGUCGGAGACGGUUACUGGUUGAUGUAGAGUCAGGUGAACGGGUGAGUGCAGGUGGUACGACUAGAUUGACUCCCAACAAACGGAGAAGGGUUCCUCCUAAUCAACCUGUCAUCGACUGUGAGCAUGUGCAGAGUGUGUGUAGCUCAAAGGCUCCACCUCCUCCACCAGAAGAGCCGAAAUUCUCUUGUCCAAUUUGUAUGUGCCCGUUCACGGAGGAGAUGUCAACGAAAUGCGGUCACAUCUUCUGCAAGGGAUGUAUAAAGAUGGCAAUAUCUCGCCAAAACAAGUGCCCUACUUGUAGGAAAAAGGUGACUGCCAAAGAGCUGAUUCGAGUCUUCCUUCCAACUACUAGAUGAACAUUAACACCCACCUUUGUCUAAUGGUUUGUCUUGACUCUAUCCUCAAAUUCGCGUUGGAACAUUGGAUGGACUUCGAGGAAUUGACGUUUUAGUUUGAAUGUUUCACUUUGUUGGAAGAAAAAAAAAACUUCAUUGGUCAAGAAGGCCAUAUCAUUGUAUGAGGCAAAUAGUGGGAGCUAGACAUGGAGUUUAUUAGAAUAUCGUGAUCUGGAACUAGAGUGUAAUGGUAGCAGAAGAUAUAGAGUAGAAAAGUUCCAUUCUUAAACCAUUUUUAAUGUUUAGAGGUUUUUGAUCCAUGUAUCUUUACGGCUAGAUCUAAACUAUUUGUAAAUUAAUUUUUGAAAAAAAAGAUAUAUUUUAUAACUAAACUUAUGAUUUUUUUUAGAGAAAUUAGGUUCUAUAUACAUUGUUUUAGUCAAAAUUAGGCAAAUGCCCUCUACAUUAUUCAACUCUUCGUAAUCCAAUAAUACCCCUGUAUCUUCCUUCGUAUUUGUUGGAAAAAGAGAAAACUAAAAAUCACUUUUACAAAUUAAAUUGAAAUCCCUAAACGCUGUGAUGAGACAAAUCCAGAUUUGCAUCAAAAACAUAAAUAUAUGACGAUGGUUGUAUUGGCGGAUGUAGGAAACUAAUUAGUUGGGGGCACAGUGAUUUUUUCCAUUAUGAUUAAUUUUAGAGUGGAAACAUUUGAUAAACUUUAUAGUAUUUAUGGAAGAAGUUUUUUAAACAGUUGGGGGCAUGUGCCCCCGUAGCUGUUGUCUUGCGUCCGCUUAUACAUAGAGAUCAAUCUAUUCUCUUUUUCUUCUCCAUCUUUGGGUUUCAUCAUCAUCACCGACACCUUCUCUCCACCGCAAAGCUGAGAGUUUGAGUACACUGCAAAACCGCCGUAGCUUUUGAUAAACCCACUACAUCUCUGCAAGAUGAAUUCUUCUUCAAAGAGCUUACUGGUUGGUGUUCGUCCUCCUCCACAACGGCCAUUACCUGCAAUUCUGGAGCACCUUCUCUUACACAGUCAUCACAAUGUUUUAUUGGAUAUCUGUUUUCUUAAGAUGCUAACUGAUCUUGUUAAUUUUGUUCUCUUCGUUUUUUGCCUUUAUUUUACUACUGUAUUCCCAACUACAUAUACUUACUGUACAUUGUUUUCAGCAUAAAUACUGCUGUAUUACUAACUAAAUAUAUAAAUUGCAGUUAAACGUUUUCGUAACCCUUACGGCCUUACCACAACCUAUUUUGGUGAUUGCAUUUCACCAUUUUUAUAACGCAUACAUAGCCAUUGUUUAACUUUUCGUAACCAGUACACCAAACAUAUUCAUAGGUUUUAGCUUUUAUAUCAUUCGGAAAAAUCACCAAUAAUGAUUUCAAUUUCGUAUCAAUACCAUUAAAUUAGGAACAUGUCCAAUUUGAUAAUAGUUUGGUCCAGUGGAUAAAUGAAACUGAACCUUAUAAUUAUGAUGUAAUUGGUGUUAGUUGAGUACGCAAAUGUCCGCUAUAGAAUAAUGUUCUUGACAGUUUUUAAUUAU
This is an RNA transcript of Brassica napus (rape), 2138 nucleotides long. It is a transcript of the gene named E3 ubiquitin-protein ligase COP1, with no coding region annotated. The record is from RefSeq and is a predicted model, not a curated record. Lineage: Eukaryota; Viridiplantae; Streptophyta; Magnoliopsida; Brassicales; Brassicaceae. The transcript is spliced from 5 exons.